This 2525-nucleotide long non-coding RNA is filed under the name Sorghum bicolor (sorghum). RNAcentral describes it as "long non-coding RNA (SBIC_LNC012114)". Lineage: Eukaryota; Viridiplantae; Streptophyta; Magnoliopsida; Poales; Poaceae. The record is from RNAcentral.
GUGGUUUCAUGCCUUAAAGGUACACAUGCGUUCAAACAAGAUCUCAUCUCUGGGUUAGGGUAAACUGUUAAGAUUUAAACUUACUCAUUUUUCCUUCCACCAUGGGGCUUGCAACCGUCACUUGUGUCUUGAGCAGUUAAAAGAUAGAACGGUCUAGUCAAGCGCCAUGUCUCUUGUUCUUUGAUUAACUAUAGCUUUGGAGUUUUUUUGCAGAUUCUAAAUAAAACUCAGAGAUUCCUUGUAUGACUCUCUCUAGUCUCUCUUUUGUGGUAUUUUUGGAUCCUUACCAAGGCAGUAAUGGUGUAUGCCUUCUCUCAAAGUAUGUGGUAUUUUUGGUAUGAGGCAUAGUGGCAUUGCCUUCUCUCUCACCCUACUCUAAUAAGGUUUUGAUAUCUGGAGCUCAUAGGUGGGAGACAGCUAAUACAUACUUAAAAGACAUUUAUUGCAUAGUCAAACCAUGGAUCUAGAAGAACAAGUCAAUAAGUCAAAUCAAGAUGUGCAUGUGUGGCGAAUGAAUGGUGAUAAUGGUGAAAAUAAUGGUGAAAGUCUAAUUCUACUUUUGCUAUUUUGAGGGGGUACAUACCUUCCUUGUACUUGAGGCUUUUGAGGGGAAUGAGAUGCUCUAUAUUUUAUUUUUCUUUUCUCUCAGGUGGGUAUCUUGUACCCCUAAUUCUACUGUCGGACACUUAUCCAUUUUUACCUCUCGUCUCACUUUUUCUCUUUUUUUUGAGGUUUUGGCCACUUGCCCCUUUUUAUUUUCUUGUAUUCACCUUUUUUCACAGCACUCAUCCUCCUGGAAUAAUGUAGCAAGUGGUAGUAACCAAAAUAUCUCGAGCAUUUAUUUCACGGGGAAUAACAAGGAUAGGAUAAUGUUUUUGGCUAUUCUCUCCUAGAUAGGAGUAGAAUAAUUUUGGGUGAAUCUGGAUAUGGAAAUGAGUGGAUGUAUGUGGAUGCAUACUUCCAGAGUAGAAGCAGCAUGUAUGAGUAAACGUGCAAGUGAAUUUUGAUUUUAACCGCAUGACAAGCUCCUAAGGGUCUAUACAGCUUGACCAUACUCAAUGCUCAUAAGCAGUAAAAAGUAAAUGUAUGGUUCAUAGUCUAAUAAGCAUGUAUAUAUGGCUGUGGUAGGAUUAUAGACUCUCAUCAUACAGGAACUCAUCAUGCAACAUUUUAAAGAUUUUAAAAGAUAAAAUUCUCCAGAAUUCUAGCAUCUCUAUGAACAGAUAAACAGCAGCUCAACCUUCCCAUAUCGUAUCCGUUAACGACUUAGACUUUAGAUCAAGUACUCUUCCCACAAGUUCAGAUUUAGAGCAAAUCUUAAUUAAUAACAGUCAUGCCUAAACUUGAGAGAGAUUUUAGUUUUGAGAACUAGUCAUGGCAGAGCAACUAUUCAUUAUUUCCAUAUGAGAGCUUAUCAUGAGGGUUCAUAGUAAACUUUAUUUAUUUAUUUAUUUAGCAAACUAAGCAAAGAUAUAUAUAUAUAAGCACAAAAUCUUUAUUUGGGUUUUUAUGAUUAUGCAUCUUUUUAUUGUUUGAGUAAAGUAUAAACUGAGUAGAAUACUUAGCUGGAUAAAUGGGGGUGCUCUCCCCCAAGCUGAAUUUUGAUGUAAUUUCUUCUGAUGUAGCUAGCAGGUGGCGGACGUGUAUUUGAAUGUCGGCAGCACCCUGACAGCGAUUAGGAUGUCCUCCGUCUGUUUAGUCUUCUUUGAUCCUUGAAUUCUGUGGAGCUCAAAUAGACAACAAAGCUUUGUGGAACUAGUUAAGUGUUAGCAUAAAUAUCUAGCCUUUAUCAUGUUGAGCCUCCUCAAUAAAUGUUACUCUCUUUAGUAGGAUCACAAUCUUAUUUGUAUAUUUUCAUUUUUAUAGGACAGGAAUAUAUUUAUUUUAUUUUUACGCCACUACAGUGUAUAUACUUAUGGGUUUUAUGCCACGAGCAUACUCACAUAGGGCUUACUAUUUUUAACAUUUUUAUUUUCUUUUCAAGAUAGCAUGAUUAACUAACAAGCCAAUUAAGGAAAGUAAAUAAUUUAAGGGAAAAGAGAAUGCUGAAAGAAUAAAUAUGGAUAACUACCGAUUUUACCUUUCGGCGAGGGUUCAAUGUUUUAAGUCUUCUGAACAAGACUUCUCACUGUGUUCAUUCUUUAGGUGCGUCACUUGAUUCAGGUAUAGACCUUGACGUCAGCACCUCUUGAUACGGUGUCACCCAUGUUCUUCGUUUGCCCAGCAGUUCGAAGUGCGGCGUUGGCAGCAUCCUGCUCAGUGUGUUUGUGCUCGUAGAUCCAGGUUCUUCACUUGAUGGAGUCUAGGAGUUGUAAAACUCCUCUAUAUUUUGCUCGAAGUGUACCUGCUCAUAGAGACAAGGCAGAGAUCAAGUGCAUGGGCCCAGUUGGUGGAAAACACCAAUAGAACCAAAAGUGUAUUUGUUCUUCUCUAACCUUAAGCAUAGUGAGCAACACAAAGUUGAUGGAUGAUAAGAUCAUGAGUGUAGCAUUUAAAACAUUUGUCAGAUCAGAUCGCUCAACCUA